GAUGAACGCUGGCGGCGUGCCUCAAACAUGCAAGUCGAGCGAGGCUAUGAAUUACCGCAAGGUAAGGCAUAGCCUAGCGGCGAACGGGUGAGUAACACGUGGGUAACCUGCCCAUAAGAGGGGGAUAACAUCCGGAAACGGGUGCUAAUACCGCAUAGGUUUCUUGGUCGCAUGAUCGAGAAAGGAAGACGGCCUUUGUGCUGUCGCUUAUGGAUGGACCCGCGGCGUAUUAGGUUAGUUGGUGAGGUAAUGGCUCACCAAGACGAUGAUACGUAGCCGACCUGAGAGGGUGAUCGGCCACAUUGGGGACUGAGACACGGGCCCAAAAUCCUACGGGAGGCCAGCAGUAGGGAAAUCUUCCGCAAAUGGACGAAAGUCUGACGGAGCAACGCCGCGUGAGUGAAGAAGGUUUUU
RNAcentral lists this ribosomal RNA (414 nucleotides) under uncultured bacterium. RNAcentral describes it as "bacterial SSU rRNA". It matches the Rfam family "Bacterial small subunit ribosomal RNA", at positions 28 to 419 of the family's 1533-position model. The record is from RNAcentral.